GGUUCCCAGACGGGUGUUGCUGCUGCUGCUGCUGCUGCGAGGCUGACGACGAGCCGGCGGUCAGGCCGUCCAGCACCUUCCUGAUGUUGAAUUUCCUCAUGGUCUCGGCGGGGCUCCCCCGCAGCCCAGGAGGAGAGAUGAGAAACUGAAGAAGAAAGGAAGAAACUACAUCCCUUGCCCAAGGUUACAUCGCUGAAUCAACUUGAACGGUAGACAGACCAGCCAUUUCAGUUGAAUCCUACUGCAUUUCUUUGACAUGGUCCAGAUGGCCUUCAGUGAUGGGAAGAAGACAGAAGCUGGGGUGGAUGACGCUGCGGACCUGGAGGCGAGACAAUGAUGUGUAGGAUAGAAAUGUCUAAUCUUCAAUUCUAGGUUUUUGGUGAAGAGACAAAGAAAAUCUUUUCCUUACCUUUAACAUCUCUUCAAUCCUACCGUAAAGUCUGCUACCCACUCAGACUUUUACAUAGAGAAAUCAAGAAAGAAGCUGAAAGUAGGCCCAGCAUUUGGGUUUAUGUGGAACAGGAGACACUGAUUCAUCAGGGCCAGGAAGCUGGACCCAGGAGUAUCCCUGAGACUAUAAAUCCCAGAAGAAGUUACAGGAAUCUUAAAAAAAAGCAAUAGAUUUCCUCUGGGUGGUGGUAUAGGAAUUAGGGCCGAUUUUAUCAAGAUCUUGAUGGCAGCAUGACCCCAGUGGCAGUUGGUUAUGAGUCUAUGGCCCUGAUGAGGUUUGAAGCCUGGCUCAUCUACAUGCCAGCUAGUUAUUCUAGACUGCAAAACUUGGUGUCUUCUUUGGUAAAAUUGGAGUAGUAUCUUUAUAAUUCGGGAUCACCAGUUGAUACUUAAAAUAGCUAGAUAAAACAUUGUUGAAGAAAGGGAUAUUCUCAAAGGAAGUAUCCCUUCCCCCCAUAUUGCAUUUGAAUUGUAAGGAAAAAUAUGUCUUUAAGGUUGAGAAAUUACAAAUAAUCUUGUAGUUGAGACAUAUGCCAGAGAUCAAACUUAAUAUGGGUAAUGGUACAGAGAUUUUGCAGGAGAGCAUCCUUGGUUUUGAGAGAUGCAUGCUGAAGUAUUUAGAGGUGAAGUGUCAUGAUGUCUGCAACUUACUUUAAAAGGUACCACAUAUAUGCACACAUAUACCAUAUAUAUACAUAAAUAUGCACAGAGGUAAUAUGUGUGUGUCUCUUGUGAAUAUAUGAAUCUCUAUAUAUAUAUGUAUAAACACAUCUGUAUAUAUACACAUAUAUCUUUCUCUAUAUAUAAAUCUAUUAUAUUUCUUAUGUAGAUAUAGUGUGAAAAUGUGGCAAAAUGUUAACAAAGUGAAGAGUAUAUGUGUUUAUUGUACUAUUCUUUUACAUUUUUCAAAAUAAAAUGUUAACUGUGUGAAUAACUUAAAGGAAAAUACUUAUCAUCACGUCAGGCACCGUGUCUGUGCUCAUUUUGUGUUGAUUACCUUUUCCUUUUUCUUCCUUUUUCCUCUUAGAUUUGUUCACUUUCCCCUAAUCAUGAUAAGCCCUCACUAUGGUUAUUUAAACAUACCUUGGUUCUUGUUUCAUUGCCCUAAAAUAAAAAGUUGUUUCUGAAAAAGCCUGAAGCACAAAGGCAGAGUGCUGUAAAAGUGCCCUGAGUGGCGGUAACUGGCUGCUCUGCGGGGUUGUUCUGUUCUCCAAAAGGGGCAGCCUGUGGUGUUGCAUGUUAAAUAUUUUGCAGAAUUAAGGGGCAGAAAUCAGUAGUUUAGAAAAAAAAAUACCCAGAAUAUAAACAUUUCUCAGUAAAUACUGAAACAGAGCAAAUGUU
Molecule: long non-coding RNA, 1791 nt
Organism: Camelus dromedarius (Arabian camel)
Lineage: Eukaryota; Metazoa; Chordata; Mammalia; Artiodactyla; Camelidae
Exons: 4
Source: RefSeq, a predicted model, not a curated record